CGUGUAGGCGGGAAGGUAAGUCGGGCGUGAAAUCCCUGAGCUCAACUCAGGAACUGCACUCGAAACUACUUUUCUUGAGUGCCGGAGAGGAAAGCGGAAUUCCUGGUGUAGAGGUGAAAUUCGUAGAUAUCAGGAGGAACACCAGUGGCGAAGGCGGCUUUCUGGACGGUAACUGACGCUGAGACGCGAAAGCGUGGGGAAGCAAACA
This 208-nucleotide ribosomal RNA is filed under the name uncultured bacterium. RNAcentral's name for it is "partial 16S ribosomal RNA". It matches the Rfam family "Bacterial small subunit ribosomal RNA", at positions 568 to 774 of the family's 1533-position model. The record is from RNAcentral.